GCGAAUUCAGAAAAACUCUGGCUAAUCAUCCCCAAACGAACUUUAAAGAUCUACCAAGCCCAACCUUAAAAGUCGAAAAUGAAGAAAAUUCUUCACAAACCUCAAAUUUGGAGAAAUUGGAUCGAUUGCUCCAAGGGUUAGAUAGAGAGAAAGGUAGCAAAAGAGAUAUGCAAAUGAAUUUUGUAAAAUUGUAAUAUACCUAUUGAUGGAUCAUUCAGGCAUCAUGCAGUC
This 231-nucleotide long non-coding RNA is filed under the name Panax ginseng (ginseng). RNAcentral describes it as "long non-coding RNA (PGIN_LNC010368)". The record is from RNAcentral. Lineage: Eukaryota; Viridiplantae; Streptophyta; Magnoliopsida; Apiales; Araliaceae.